UUUUUAGGUCUUGGUUUUCUGAUGAGUGGCUUCCUGAGCAUGCCUAGGGAAUGACAGGCAUCUCUGCAGGCAGGCUGAACCCACCUUGGCUUGCGCGUAGUCAUUGGCUGCCUAUUAGAAUAAAUUGAGGACAAUGCAUACCGCUGCCUGCCAAUUGUAAACAUAAGGGAUAUGUAUUCACUUAGCAUUGACUUUUGGGAGGGGCCAAGGAAAGGCUGUAGUUUUAUUGAAUAGGGCUGUGUGUGAGGCUGCUGGUGUGCCUUUCUCGCUGCGCUCCUGCCCAAGCAGCCGGUUAUUCACUUCCUUCCUACUAGCUGAAAACUUUGCAGCCGCAGAGUGAUCACCUCUCGUUUCUGGAGUCGUCAUUUUGAAUUAAUCAGUAGCUGGUUUGUUCCUGAAAGGAUCAGAAUAUUUCCU
This 417-nucleotide long non-coding RNA is filed under the name Struthio camelus australis. Its description in RNAcentral is "lncRNA (ENSSCUG00000015756.1)". Lineage: Eukaryota; Metazoa; Chordata; Aves; Struthioniformes; Struthionidae. The record is from RNAcentral.